GGGGUUCUAGUGUGGUGCAAUGGGUCAGCGCGUCUGGUUGUUAACCAGAAGGUUGGCAGUUUGAGCCCCACCCCCA
Non-coding RNA from Podarcis lilfordi (Lilford's wall lizard), 76 nucleotides. NCBI's taxonomy places the organism in Eukaryota, Metazoa, Chordata, Lepidosauria, Squamata, Lacertidae. The record is from the annotation of a GenBank genome assembly.